Molecule: small nuclear RNA, 23 nt
Filed under: Arabidopsis thaliana (thale cress)
Lineage: Eukaryota; Viridiplantae; Streptophyta; Magnoliopsida; Brassicales; Brassicaceae
Description: snRNA_14796
Source: RNAcentral
AAAAAACGUAAGAAAAUCGGAUA